AGUCUCGCGCAGGAACUGCAGCAUUGGCGCUAGAAUCCCCACGUCCCAGCCCGGUCUGAACCUCGCUGAGCUCGGCGGAUUCGAGCGCAACAGGAUGCCAAGUGAAUGAGCUGACGAGACCUUUACGUUCUUCAUCCCGGUAAGACCUAGAGCUUUGUGCACAUUCUUCAUUGCUGGUACCAACUUCAUUUGCACAUCUGGUGUAUCCCAAUGUAAAACCUCAUUUCCAACUAGCACCACAUCAAUUUUCGUGAGUGGGUAGAAAGGCUUAAUGUUUGCCUCGACGUAUCGUCGAGCAUAGGCGAGAUCCAGUAGAUUCGGGACCUCGCCGUUAGGUAUGGUGACCGUAACGGAGAUACCUGUGUUAGCGAAAGCGCGCAGGAUAUCUGGGUUGAUGUCGAAGAUUUUUAUACGGUCUAUGACCGUUUUGUCCUUGAUGAACUGAGCUACUUGUGUUGGUGGUGGAAGGUUGUUUCCCAUAGUUCCAUAGUUAACACCUAUAGAUAUUACACAACGAAGACAAAGACCAACAAUAGAGAACAACAGUAAAAAUGAAUGUUUUCUGCUAGAUAUCUUCAUGGUUGAUGUGAAGAUGGUGAGAGGGAAAAAGGGGAAAGGUAUUGUUCAUAUAGGAAUAACAAUAAGGUUGAUUUGAUAAAUAAAGAAAGAAAGGUCAAAUUUAGAUUUUGAAUUAUUUUGACCAAAAGGAAAGAAGGAAGAUGGAGGGUUCUAGAUUUACAGUUUUUUUUUUUUUGGAAAGAGGAGCUUGAGAAUUUGGGGACUAUUUUCAAGAUUCUAUUUUUCAUGAAUGAUGAUUAUAUUUAGAGGGAAGAAUAGAAUAGAAUAGGAUGGAAAGAGGAGCUUGAGAAUUUGGGGACUAUUUUCAAGAUUCUAUUUUUGAUGAAUGAUGAUUAUAUUUAGAGGGAAGAAUAGAAUAGAAUAGGAUAAACGUGUCGUGGCAACAAAGGUGAAAAAGGAUACCAUAAUUAUUACUUACAAUAUGUUAAAACUAUGUUGAUUACGCGUAUGUUGCGCAACAACGCUGAUGAAUAUGUCCGAAGUGUGACAACGGAUAUUUUUGAAAGUGAAGUUCGUUUGAUCAUAAAAAUUAUUUAUAUUUUUUAAAAAAUUAUUUUAUUUUAAUAAAAUAUAACAAAAUACAUUUAAUCAUAAGAAAUUUAAAAUAUAAUUUUAAAAAAUUAUAUUUUGAAAAGUAAAAAUAAGAACUUAUUUUUACUUUUUUUCACUCAUAUUUUUCUCAUAAAAUUUCAAAAAUGACUUUAAUUUAUAUUUACGGUCAAACACAAUUCCAACUUUAAUUUUAACUCCAACCCUAACUCAAAAAAAUUAUGAUUUUUAUGACCAAACGAAAUCUCCAUCUUAUUAUAGCAUGAGUGUCAGUAUAUAAUAUUAUAUUAAUUUUAUAAAAUGCAUAAAUAAAAUAUUUAAUUUUAUAGAGAGAUUAUGAUUUCAUAUAAGAAUGAACAUAAAAUAUCAAAAAUUAAAUUAUUAAAUGAAAUAAAAAAAUUAAUAAUUGAUACAGUAAUGAAAUGGUCUAAUUUAAUUAUGACCUAAAAUAAAUUGAGUUGAAUUAAAUUAUGUGUUGAACGUGUCACCCGUGAACAUUUUACUGUAACACAUCAUUAUCCAGAUUUCAGUUGGACCACACACUCAGAAUUACAUCAUGUACCAUUUUAAUAAAGUUAUAUUACUCUUUCCUUUCGUUUCAGUUUACGUGAAUCGUUUGAUAUGACAUAAUGUUUAAUACUCUAUAUAAACCUGUGGAUUUUCAAUUUAUUAUAGUAUUUUAUUUGUUUGAUUUUACUUAUUUAUAGUAGGCUUUGCAAUCCUCUUAAGAAGAUAUUACUUUUUCCGUCUUAAUUUAUGUUCCUACUUUGCAGUAUGUCUCAAAAAUAAAAAUAAUUUAAUUUAAAAUUCAAUUUUUUCCUUACAAAUUGACUUACAAUAAUAUGAAUGUCUAAAAUUUAUUUUAAUCAUAAAUUUCAAAAGCCUAAGUUAUUAAAAUGAUAAAAAUAACAAAUAGAAUGCACAUUUUUCUAUAGUACUCUUUGCGUUAAUUGGCAUCUCAAUUUGCUUUGGGCUUUGGUGUAAAGCAACUUCUUCAUGGACAUAACGUGUAAGAUUAAUUGUUUGUGAUCAUAUUAAAAGCUAACUAAUUACUCAAUUAAUACAUUUGUGGCAAAGAUUAAUUGUUUGUCAAUGUAUUAAAAACUAACCAACCAAGCACUCCAUUGCAGUCUCACAAAUGGAGUCUAAAAGGGUACGAGACCAACUGGUCAAACAGAGACGAAAAUCGGCCAUAACGAUUUGAGAGUCCCAUGUGGAAGAGGUUUCGCUCAAUGGAUCAAAGAUACGUCGAG
This 2381-nucleotide long non-coding RNA is filed under the name Capsicum annuum. Its description in RNAcentral is "long non-coding RNA (CANN_LNC010824)". Lineage: Eukaryota; Viridiplantae; Streptophyta; Magnoliopsida; Solanales; Solanaceae. The record is from RNAcentral.